GCAGUCAGGAGAACGGAUCCUUCGGGAUACUAUUAAACUGGCGAACGGGUGAGUAACGCGUAGGCAACCUGCCUUGGAGAUUGGGAUAACCCCGGGAAACCGGAGCUAAUACCAAAUAAUGCAGCGGAUCCUUUCGGGAUAUGUUGUUAAAGUGGGCUUCGGCUCACACUUCAAGAUGGGCCUGCGUCCGAUUAGCUUGUUGGUGAGGUAAUGGCUCACCAAGGCGAUGAUCGGUAGCUGGUCUGAGAGGAUGAUCAGCCACACUGGGAUUGAGAUACGGCCCAGACUCCUACGGGAGGCAGCAGUGGGGAAUUUUGCGCAAUGGACGAAAGUCUGACGCAGCAACGCCGCGUGAUCGAUGAAGCUUCUAGGAGUGUAAAGAUCUGUCGUGAGGGAAGAAAAAUCUGGAUGUAAAUAAUGUUCAGACGUGACGGUACCUCACAAGAAAGCACCGGCUAACUUCGUGCCAGCAGCCGCGGUAAUACGAGGGGUGCUAGCGUUGUCCGGAAUUACUGGGCGUAAAGGGUUCGUAGGCGUCUUGCCAAGUUGAUCGUUAAAGCCACCGGCUUAACCGGUGAUCUGCGAUCAAAACUGGCGAGAUAGAAUAUGUGAGGGGAAUGUGGAAUUCCUGGUGUAGCGGUGACAUGCGUAGAUAUCAGGAGGAACACCAAUGGCGAAGGCAGCAUUCUGGCACAAUAUUGACGCUGAGGAACGAAAGCGUGGGGAGCAAACAGGAUUAGAUACCCUGGUAGUCCACGCCGUAAACGAUGAGUACUUGGUGGUGGGGGAUUCGACCCCUUCACUAUCGGAGCUAACGCNU
RNAcentral lists this ribosomal RNA (820 nucleotides) under uncultured Fidelibacterota bacterium. RNAcentral describes it as "SSU rRNA". It matches the Rfam family "Bacterial small subunit ribosomal RNA", at positions 57 to 860 of the family's 1533-position model. The record is from RNAcentral. Lineage: Bacteria; Pseudomonadati; Fidelibacterota.